UACGGAGGGGGCUAGCGUUGUUCGGAUUUACUGGGCGUAAAGCGCACGUAGGCGGCGUAUCAAGUCAGAGGUGAAAGGCCUGGGCUCAACCUAGGAACGGCCUUUGAUACUGGUAUGCUUGAGUUCGGAAGAGGGUAGUGGAAUUCCAGGUGUAGAGGUGAAAUUCGUAGAUGUAGUUAGGAAGAACCACGGUGGCGAAGGCGGCUACCUGGUCCGAUACUGACGCUGAGGUGCGAAAGCGUGGGGGAGCGAACAGGAUUAGAUACCCGGGUAGUCC
RNAcentral lists this ribosomal RNA (277 nucleotides) under uncultured bacterium. RNAcentral describes it as "partial 16S ribosomal RNA". It matches the Rfam family "Bacterial small subunit ribosomal RNA", at positions 524 to 796 of the family's 1533-position model. The record is from RNAcentral.